Molecule: transfer RNA, 62 nt
Filed under: Platysaurus capensis
Lineage: Eukaryota; Metazoa; Chordata; Lepidosauria; Squamata; Cordylidae
Description: tRNA-Cys
Source: RNAcentral
AAGCCCCGGCACCUUCAAGGUGCUUCUUCAAAUUUGCAAUUUGACGUAAAUACCUCGGAACU